RNAcentral lists this ribosomal RNA (641 nucleotides) under Takifugu chinensis (karasu). Its description in RNAcentral is "partial 16S rRNA". The stretch from base 1 to 436 matches the Rfam family "Bacterial large subunit ribosomal RNA", at positions 704 to 1298 of the family's 2925-position model. The record is from RNAcentral. Lineage: Eukaryota; Metazoa; Chordata; Actinopteri; Tetraodontiformes; Tetraodontidae.
AGUCUAACACCCCGAAACUGAAUGAGCUACUCCAAGACAGCCUUUAUAGGGCACAUCCGUCUCUGUGGCAAAAGAGUGGAAAGAGCUUUGAGUAGAGGUGAUAAACCUUCCGAGUUCAGUUAUAGCUGGUUGCCCGAGAACUGAGUAUAAGCUCAGCCUUUUGGCUUCUUAACUCCAUAACUAUUUAUAUUAACCCGCCUUUAAGAAACCAAAAGAGUUAAUCAAAGGGGGUACAGCCCCUUUGAUACAAGAAACAACUUUUAACAGGAGGAUAAGGAUCAUAAAAAAUCAAGGCACCGCGCUUAAGUAGGCUUAGAAGCAGCCACCACAAGAAAGCGUUAAAGCUCUAGCACAUCCCUGCCACAAAUACCAAUAAAACACUCCUAACCCCUUCCCCUACCGGGCUUUUCUAUGCUUCCAUAGAAGAAAUUAUGCUAAAAUGAGUAAUAAGGGGCCGACCCCCUCCAAGCACAAGUGUACAUCAGAACGAACCCCCACCGAAAUUCAACGGACCCAACCAAAGAGGGAAAUAAAUAUUAAAUUCACAACAAGAAAAACAUUUAACACUUUUCCGUUACCCCUACACUGGUGUGCCAAAUAGGAAAGACUAAAAGAAAAAGAAGGAACUCGGCAAACUCAAA